UUGUUGAAACCCUUGAAUUCGGAAUAUGAGAAAGUCCCCUCGGGUUGGAUUACUCCUUUUAUGGGGGUCACAGUUGCUUUAUUGGCUAUAUUUCUAUAUAUCAUUUUAGAAAUUUACAAUUCUUCACUUUUACUGGACGGAAAUUCAACCAAUCAGGUCUCUACUAAAUUGAUUAGGCCUUCAACUUCUACUUCCGUUUAG
This 201-nucleotide ribosomal RNA is filed under the name Triticum aestivum (bread wheat). RNAcentral's name for it is "partial small subunit ribosomal RNA". The record is from RNAcentral. Lineage: Eukaryota; Viridiplantae; Streptophyta; Magnoliopsida; Poales; Poaceae.